This 761-nucleotide small RNA is filed under the name Pan troglodytes (chimpanzee). RNAcentral describes it as "processed transcript". Lineage: Eukaryota; Metazoa; Chordata; Mammalia; Primates; Hominidae. The record is from RNAcentral.
AAAGACUGUUAAGCUGUCAAAUAGUGAACUACCUCGGUAGUUCCCGAUGCCGUGAUCAUGGUUUUGGUCUCGUUUCUUUUAGGUUACCCCUGUUUCAGGCCAGUGCUUUUGCAUUUUUGGCCCCUGCUCGAGCCAUCCUGUCUUUAGAUAAAUGGAAAUGUAACACCACAGAUGUUUCAGUUGCCAAUGGAACAGCAGAGCUGUUGCACACAGAACACAUCUGGUAUCCCCGGAUCCGAGAGAUCCAGGGGGCCAUCAUCAUGUCCUCACUGAUAGAAGUAGUCAUCGGCCUCCUCGGCCUGCCUGGGGCUCUACUGAAGUACAUCGGGCCCUUGACCAUUACACCCACGGUGGCCCUAAUUGGCCUCUCUGGUUUCCAGGCAGCGGGGGAGAGAGCCGGGAAGCACUGGGGCAUUGCCAUGCUGACAAUAUUCCUAGUAUUACUGUUUUCUCAAUAUGCCAGAAAUGUUAAAUUUCCUCUCCCGAUUUAUAAAUCCAAGAAAGGAUGGACUGCGUACAAGUUACAGCUGUUCAAAAUGUUCCCUAUCAUCCUGGCCAUCCUGGUAUCCUGGCUGCUCUGCUUCAUCUUCACGGUGACAGACGUCUUCCCUCCCGACAGCACAAAGUAUGGCUUCUAUGCUCGCACAGAUGCCAGGCAAGGCGUGCUUCUGGUAGCCCCGUGGUUUAAGGUUCCAUACCCAUGUAAGUAUUCUGAUGGCUAGAGGGGUCAAGAGCCCAAGAGGGCCCAACUGAGAGGGGUU